UACAACCUACUUGUUCACAGCUCCACUGCUGGGCAUUGACUGCCGCAAUGCUGAAAGAGGAAUCUGCAGGGACAACUUCCACUGAAUUGCUGAUCAACUAGAUAAGACAUUGAUGCAUCGUAGAUGGGAUACAGCAAUUGGCAUGAAUCCAAUCUCAACCUAAGAGCAUGUUAUAUGAACCUUUACUAUUAAUGAUGAAAAAUGUGAUAGGUAAGGUCUUACUUCCAACCGUCAAAUUAACACAGAGUGCCCCCCGAGCUGGUAAGAUGUUUCCUUCAAAGUCUUUCAGAAUCAUGUCCAUUUUCAUCAAGUCUUCCUCACCC
RNAcentral lists this long non-coding RNA (323 nucleotides) under Setaria viridis. Its description in RNAcentral is "long non-coding RNA (SVIR_LNC006906)". Lineage: Eukaryota; Viridiplantae; Streptophyta; Magnoliopsida; Poales; Poaceae. The record is from RNAcentral.